This 492-nucleotide ribosomal RNA is filed under the name uncultured bacterium. RNAcentral's name for it is "partial 16S ribosomal RNA". It matches the Rfam family "Bacterial small subunit ribosomal RNA", at positions 29 to 507 of the family's 1533-position model. The record is from RNAcentral.
AGUGAACGCUGGCGGUAGGCCUAACACAUGCAAGUCGAACGGCAGCACAGUAGGAGCUUGCUCUUACGGGUGGCGAGUGGCGGACGGGUGAGGAAUACAUCGGAAUCUACUUUUUCGUGGGGGAUAACGUAGGGAAACUUACGCUAAUACCGCAUACGACCUACGGGUGAAAGCAGGGGAUCUUCGGACCUUGCGCGAUUGAAUGAGCCGAUGUCGGAUUAGCUAGUUGGCGGGGUAAAGGCCCACCAAGGCGACGAUCCGUAGCUGGUCUGAGAGGAUGAUCAGCCACACUGGAACUGAGACACGGUCCAGACUCCCACGGGAGGCAGCAGUGGGGAAUAUUGGACAAUGGGCGCAAGCCUGAUCCAGCCAUACCGCGUGGGUGAAGAAGGCCUUCGGGUUGUAAAGCCCUUUUGUUGGGAAAGAAAAGCAGCAGGUUAAUACCCCGCUGUUCUGACGGUACCCAAAGAAUAAGCACCGGCUAACUUCGUG